Molecule: ribosomal RNA, 512 nt
Filed under: uncultured bacterium
Lineage: Bacteria
Description: partial 16S ribosomal RNA
Rfam family: Bacterial small subunit ribosomal RNA
Source: RNAcentral
GAUGAACGCUGGCGGCGUGCCUAAUACAUGCAAGUCGAACGAAACUUCUUUAUCACCGAGUGCUUGCACUCACCGAUAAAGAGUUGAGUGGCGAACGGGUGAGUAACACGUGGGCAACCUGCCCAAAAGAGGGGGAUAACACUUGGAAACAGGUGCUAAUACCGCAUAACCAUAGUUACCGCAUGGUAACUAUGUAAAAGGUGGCUAUACUACCGCUUUUGGAUGGGCCCGCGGCGCAUUAGCUAGUUGGUAGGGUAAAGGCUUACCAAGGCAAUGAUGCGUAGCCGAAUUGAGAGGUUGAUCGGCCACAUUGGGACUGAGACACGGCCCAAACUCCUACGGGAGGCAGCAGUAGGGAAUCUUCCACAAUGGGCGAAAGCCUGAUGGAGCAACGCCGCGUGUGUGAAGAAGGUCUUCGGAUCGUAAAACCCUGUUGUUAGAGAAGAAAGUGCGUGAGAGUAACUGUUCACGUUUCGACGGUAUCUAACCAGAAAGCCACGGCUAACUACGUG